This 77-nucleotide transfer RNA is filed under the name Thermoprotei archaeon ex4572_64. RNAcentral's name for it is "tRNA-Met". It matches the Rfam family "tRNA". Rfam says of the family: Transfer RNA (tRNA) molecules are approximately 80 nucleotides in length. Their secondary structure includes four short double-helical elements and three loops (D, anti-codon, and T loops). The record is from RNAcentral. Lineage: Archaea; Thermoproteati; Thermoproteota; Thermoprotei.
GGGCCCGUAGCUUAGCCAGGUAGAGCGCCCGGCUCAUAACCGGGUGGUCCCGGGUUCAAAUCCCGGCGGGCCCACCA